This is a long non-coding RNA of Zea mays, 419 nucleotides long. RefSeq lists it as uncharacterized. The transcript has 2 exons. The record is from RefSeq and is a predicted model, not a curated record. Lineage: Eukaryota; Viridiplantae; Streptophyta; Magnoliopsida; Poales; Poaceae.
CGCCUCCACCUCCACCUCCGCCUCCGUCACAAUUCCCUACGGGAUUUCAGACACCCCCCGCUAUAGUUGGAGCACCAGGAGACGGGUCUGGUCAAGACGACGCAUCGCAUUCGUGGGUGAAUAACCUUUUCAACACGCAUAGUCCAGCAGGAGGAGGUGGCUACUCGAACCAUCCAGGCGAUGGAUAUGAUUGAUGUGUCGUGAUGUUAAUUUGUGAAACACUUUGCAACACUUGUUUGCAACCGUGAUCACAACACUUGUUUAUGAGACACAAUGUCAGUUUGCAACAACCGUCGGACCUAUAUGUUGAUGUUAAAUUUGUGAAUGUUAAUAUUUAUGUGAGAAUAUUUGAGAUUGUAAUGUGAAUACUUAUGUGAAUGUGUAUAUUUGUGAUUGUGAAUGUAUAUAUGUGCAUGGAA